Cydia strobilella is the source of this 195-nucleotide long non-coding RNA. RefSeq lists it as uncharacterized. The record is from RefSeq and is a predicted model, not a curated record. Lineage: Eukaryota; Metazoa; Arthropoda; Insecta; Lepidoptera; Tortricidae. The transcript has 3 exons.
UUUUUGAAGUGAAAACUUCUUUAGCGGCGCUUAUAAAAGUACUAUUAUUAAAGCAAUUCGUGCAAAAUUAUUCCCUAACCAUUCCAAAAUAUCAAAAAUGCACAACGUUAAUAUUCAAGUUUUCACUUCUGCCGGCACUCCCGGAGUGCAACCCUUUGUUUUUUUAUUUUCUAUUUUUAUUAAACGUAGUAGGCA